This 76-nucleotide transfer RNA is filed under the name Pinus taeda (loblolly pine). RNAcentral's name for it is "tRNA-His". It matches the Rfam family "tRNA". From Rfam's summary of the family: Transfer RNA (tRNA) molecules are approximately 80 nucleotides in length. Their secondary structure includes four short double-helical elements and three loops (D, anti-codon, and T loops). RNAcentral also lists the same sequence under 2 other names. Lineage: Eukaryota; Viridiplantae; Streptophyta; Pinopsida; Pinales; Pinaceae. The record is from RNAcentral.
GGCGAGUAUAACCCAAUAGGUCAGAGUGUCAGAUUGUGAAUUCGAAAACACGGGUUCGAAUCCCGUUAUUCGCCGC